Molecule: long non-coding RNA, 524 nt
Organism: Galeopterus variegatus (Sunda flying lemur)
Lineage: Eukaryota; Metazoa; Chordata; Mammalia; Dermoptera; Cynocephalidae
Exons: 2
Source: RefSeq, a predicted model, not a curated record
GCCAGUACGGGGACCGAACCCUUGACUUUGGUGUUACCAACAGAGCUCUAACCGAACUAACCGGCCAGCCCUCAACUUUUUACAUGUUUACACUCUUGUAUAUACACCCAGAUCGAGACAUGGAGCUUUCCAGAGCCUGCCCUCCCAGGGUCCCCCCGAGGUGACCACUGUUCUAGCUUCUAGAUGGUCUCGUCUGCUUUCAGACUUCCCGCAAAUGGAAUCACAACGCACACUAGUUCGUGCCUGAUUCUUGCGCUCAGUUUGAGCUUCAGGUCUGCACUGCUGAGGAAUUUUAUUCCUAUUCCAUAACUGAAGGACCGGGCUGCUGCCGCUGUCCCUUUGCUGGUCCAUUCUCAGAAGAACCAUCUAGAAGUAUCUGCCUGGUCUUUCUCUGCCUUCUGUAUCUUCAUGUUUUCUCUUACCAGUUCUUCUGUUGUACUUUCCCCAUCUUGUUUUGCGAGGUUCCCCGGAAUCUGACUUCACUUUCUGUUUUGUUAAUUAAAGUUCUUGCUGCUUCUAAUGUG